This is a long non-coding RNA of Corvus hawaiiensis (hawaiian crow), 2169 nucleotides long. RefSeq lists it as uncharacterized. The transcript is spliced from 5 exons. Lineage: Eukaryota; Metazoa; Chordata; Aves; Passeriformes; Corvidae. The record is from RefSeq and is a predicted model, not a curated record.
UUUGAUUGCGCUGGGACUGGAGUAGCGAACAUAUGUCUAAUGCCCAUCCCAGAAAGAAUGACUUAGUGCCCUUAAUGCCUUUCCUAUUGUUUUCUUUUCCACUUUCUCUUCUCUUAUUCAUCAAGCUGCUGUUAGUAGUUAUCAUUACAUGCAGGCAAGCACCCACCAGCAUCUUCAAACAAACCAAGGAUAACACAAGAGGGAAACAGGAACUGGGACUUCUGUCUUCACAGAAUCCAGCUGCUUUCUGCAUUUGAUUUUCAGUUGUUUGUCUGGCCCUGAAUCUUUAGGAAGUGUGGUAAAUUAAGGAGUCCAGGAAAAAUGAUACAUGUGCCAGUGUCUGAGAUGUAAUCAGAAGAAGAGUAUUUGUUUUUCUGAACAUGUUAAUUGAAAUAACCAAGCAUGUGUCUUCAGGAAGAGAAUUCAGAGGACCCAUUAAAGGAAGUCUCUGCCUCCAUGUCUCUGUACUGAUUGUGGAUCUGUAAAUGGCUGCCAUCCAGCAAAGCUCUUAAGUGCAUGCUUAGCUCUAGCACAGCUUGGCUAACUUUGUUGCUAACUUUGGCAUGUGUGGGGCGUUCACAUGCCUGGUGAGAGGCACAUGCUCGUGUGCCCUUCUGCAUAACUAACUCUUCCUUGUGUCCUACAGGCCUGAGGCCAGGAGUGUGGGUCCGGUGUCCUGCUCCCAUAGAAGGUACUGAAGAUGGCAGUAGGGUUGCACUUCAUCUACAGCUCCGGGGUUUUCUUGCUUCUCAUGAACGUCACUGAAAUGCAGAGGUAGAAACUCCUGAAAACUGAAAACUCAUGGUAGCUAGAAUUUACAUGUAACCUGAUAAGGUGGAAGGAAAUCUUUUGGCUUUAAACUACAACGGAAGAUUCUAGGAGUCUGAAUUGAAAAGCUUUGUAGAGCUUUUUUGUAAGGGAAGACUCACAGGAGGGAAGUUGCUGUUUUGCUGUUUUGAGAAUCCUGUCUGAGUUCUUCUGCUUUGGAGAGGGUACAAGAGGAGUGCACUUGCUGAUCGAACUGUAACAGGAUAUUAUUUUGUAGAGCCAAAUAUUUAAUGUGGCAACCUAGAAUGCAUCUCCUUGGCCUGCGAUCAGCCAAGAGCCAGUUAGUGGAGCAGCGCUGCUCAUUGCCAGCAUCCAUCCUCUUUUUCUUCAUCAGAAAUCCAGGGUCUGUAUCCUGGAAAUGCAGAAAUCCACCCCGACUCUUCAAGGACUUGCACGUGUGCUCAGCUCGAGCCCCUGAAUCGCCCAUUAAUGCAGAGUGUACACAGCCCUGUUUGGCAGGUCAAGGUAGAACAAGAAGCCAAGAUGAUACAUGCACUUCUAUCAUAGGAAGAUUCCUCUCUGUGUGUCUAGAUUCUGCAUGAAGUACUUCUUGUGAGUAUUUGAUCUCCUUUUUUAUUGUUUUUAAUAUUAUUGUUACAAAAAUGCUUCAAAAAAUUAGUACUGUCUUCAAAUUACUGUACAGUAAGAGCCUAUUAUAAUCUCUGUUUCACAGAUGAGGAAAACCAGUCUGAUAAAGAUUAAAGUUCCAGUUCAAGGAGAGGCAGAAGCUUAAGCACAUCUUUUAAUGUUCCUGUGAUUUUGGUGUAGGCUGUUAUGAAGAGUUUCUCUGGAGGUGAAAACAGAAUGUGCUCUGAGUUGCAGACAGUACCUCAGCCACAGUGCUGCAAGUUUUUCUUGUUAUACUUGUUAAAAAACGUGAUGCAAUGGGAUCGUCAUAGAGGAGAGAGAUUUAUUUUUGUAGUUAGUUAUUCAAUAUGGUAGUGAAACUCAUUUUAGCAUGGAGGUCAAUGAAGUUCUAACCUUUUCCUUCAGCUUUGUAGAUUUUCACAGAAGUGUGUAGCAUCUUUUCUUUGGUCAGGUAUCUCGGAAAUAAAGUCGGAGAAAUAAAUCUGCACAUUUCUACUGUGGCUGUGAUAAGCAUAUGUAUUUAUAUAUAUAAUGGCAUUGUGUGUCUUGCUCUAUGUAACAUUUUUUAGGUGUCUGUAUGAGUAGGAGAUUUAUGAAGUGUGACUCAUUUUUCCUUCUCCACACUGUUCCAAUGGAAGAGCUCAGACUGCGAUGAGAAAAAGUAGUACACAUUAUUAAGAAUUCUGAUAAAGUAGGCUGAAUAAAUUUGUUUUCUUUGUGAGCCUUAAUCCUGUGUUGUAUUGGCUUCUUGGA